CAAUAGCGUAUAUUAAAGUUGUUGCAGUUAAAAAGCUCGUAGUUGAACUUCGGGCGUGGUGGUCCGGUCUGCCUAUGGUACGAACUGGUAUCCGCUGCGUCUUUCCUGGUAAGGGCUUGCGCUGCUCUUAACUGAGUGGUGUAUUGUUCGUUUACCUCAUUUACUGUGAACAAAUUAGAGUGUUUAAAGCAGGCGUUUGCUUGAAUACAUUAGCAUGGAAUAAUGGAAUAGGACUUUGGUUCUAUUUUGUUGGUUUCUAGGACUGAAGUAAUGAUUAAUAGGGAUAGUUGGGGGCAUUCAUAUUUAAUUGUCAGAGGUGAAAUUCUUGGAUUUAUGAAAGAUGAACUUCUGCGAAAGCAUUUGCCAAGGAUGUUUUCAUUAA
Molecule: ribosomal RNA, 382 nt
Filed under: uncultured eukaryote
Lineage: Eukaryota
Description: partial 18S ribosomal RNA
Rfam family: Eukaryotic small subunit ribosomal RNA
Source: RNAcentral